UACGUAGGUGGCAAGCGUUGUUCGGAAUUAUUGGGCGUAAAGCGCGCGCAGGCGGUUUCUUAAGUCUGAUGUGAAAUCUCGUGGCUCAACCACGAGCGGCCAUUGGAAACUGGGAAACUUGAGUGCAGAAGAGAAGAGCGGAAUUCCACGUGUAGCGGUGAAAUGCGUAGAGAUGUGGAGGAACACCAGUGGCGAAGGCGGCUCUUUGGUCUGUAACUGACGCUGAGGCGCGAAAGCGUGGGGAGCAAACAGG
RNAcentral lists this ribosomal RNA (253 nucleotides) under uncultured bacterium. Its description in RNAcentral is "partial 16S ribosomal RNA". It matches the Rfam family "Bacterial small subunit ribosomal RNA", at positions 524 to 776 of the family's 1533-position model. The record is from RNAcentral.